CAAAUACUCCCUCUGUCCCAAAUUUCUUGUCUUAGAUUUGUCUAGAUACGGAUAUAUCUAAUACUAAAAUGUGACUUGAUACAUCCGUAUCUGGACAAAUCUAAGACAAGAAUUUUGGGACGGAGGGAGUACUUU
This is a non-coding RNA of Triticum aestivum (bread wheat), 135 nucleotides long. NCBI's taxonomy places the organism in Eukaryota, Viridiplantae, Streptophyta, Magnoliopsida, Poales, Poaceae. The record is from Rfam.